RNAcentral lists this ribosomal RNA (253 nucleotides) under uncultured bacterium. RNAcentral's name for it is "partial 16S ribosomal RNA". It matches the Rfam family "Bacterial small subunit ribosomal RNA", at positions 524 to 776 of the family's 1533-position model. The record is from RNAcentral.
UACGUAGGGGCCGAGCGUUGUCCGGAAUUACUGGGCGUAAAGCGCGCGCAGGCGGCUCUUCAAGCCUGACGUGAAAGCCCCCGGCUCAACCGGGGAGGGUCGUCGGGGACUGAGGAGUUUGAGGGCGGUAGGGGCCGGUGGAAUUCUGGGUGUAGUGGUGAAAUGCGUAGAGAUCCAGAGGAACACCAGUGGCGAAGGCGGCCGGCUGGGCCGACCCUGACGCUGAGGCGCGAAGGCGUGGGGAGCGAACGGG